CUUCCCCGGAGCUGGCGUGAGCGCAGACAGAACCAUCAGGCUCAACGUGUCCUAUGCACCCCAGAAGCUGACCAUCAGAGUGUUCCGGAAGGAAGACACAGGUAGGUCUAAACCUCUCUUCUCCAGGGGUGUGGUGGAAGUGGAAGUGUCUCUGCCCUUCGGAGCAGAGCUGGGGAUCAGAACUCAGACAGCAGAGAGGCUCAGGCCCGGGGAGGGGACAGCAGAGGUGGGACAACCC
This is a long non-coding RNA of Aethalodelphis obliquidens (Pacific white-sided dolphin), 238 nucleotides long. RefSeq lists it as uncharacterized. Lineage: Eukaryota; Metazoa; Chordata; Mammalia; Artiodactyla; Delphinidae. The record is from RefSeq and is a predicted model, not a curated record. The transcript is spliced from 2 exons.